RNAcentral lists this ribosomal RNA (260 nucleotides) under uncultured bacterium. Its description in RNAcentral is "partial 16S ribosomal RNA". It matches the Rfam family "Bacterial small subunit ribosomal RNA", at positions 526 to 779 of the family's 1533-position model. The record is from RNAcentral.
CAGAGGGUGCAAGCGUUAAAUCGGAAUUACUGGGCGUAAAGCGCGCGUAGGUGGUUUGUUAAGUUGGAUGUGAAAAGCCCCGGGCUCAACCUGGGACUAGCAUCCAAAAACUAGGCAAGCUAGAGUACGGUAGAGGGUGGUGGAAUUUCCUGUGUAGCGGUGAAAUGCGUAGAUAUAGGAAGGAACACCAGUGGCGAAGGCGACCACCUGGACUGAUACUGACACUGAGGUGCGAAAGCGUGGGGGAGGCAAACAGGAUU